Molecule: long non-coding RNA, 998 nt
Filed under: Sorghum bicolor (sorghum)
Lineage: Eukaryota; Viridiplantae; Streptophyta; Magnoliopsida; Poales; Poaceae
Description: long non-coding RNA (SBIC_LNC014869)
Source: RNAcentral
UAGGCAUGGCAGGCACGAGGAAUACAAGGCUACCAAUGGAAAAAAUAUUUGUCUCGGUACACUUCCAUCUUUUGUUAAAGAAUGAGGCACACCUUCCCACAUUUGUGUCACAAACUUGUGGUUCGGAACAUCCAUUGGUCACAUGCCAUGGGGCUGAUGGUUAUGGCACAUUGCACAAGGAUGUACGAUGGGGGCCGAUGUGAGUAACAAUGGAGAGUGCAGGAUGACAUACAAAACGGUGGCGUCGACAUGCAAUAGGCAAGCUUUGGGCCACUAUUUUUUUGCUGGUACAUAAUGGGCGUGUGGUUGGGUGGUACCUGGGGAGGGGCUUUAGAGCCCUAACUCAAGUUGCCUUAGAAUACAUAUGUCAUUGUGGUUGGAUUUUUUAUGACACCGUGUAUUGGCGACGAUGUAUAGAUAUUUUGAUACAUUGUGUAUAUACGACCUAGUCUGGUGUAUCCAAAUACUCAUUAUUUUAUUAAUUGUUAUUAUUAUCAUAUAUUACAAUUGUAUUCUAAAAAAUGCAGUGAUGGUGGUGAUGGAUAGGACAUUACUGCCAGAUAGUAUGCCAGACCAACGUUGAUAUCACCAUCAACACAUAGUCGGAUUGAACGCCGAUAUUGGCUGUGCCGAUAACUACAUCUAUGGUGGAUCAUAAUCUGUACGAACAUUGAUGUCUCAUUUACCACUGUCGGAUGGUACGCCCUGCAUCAUCAAUGCCAGAUAGUUUGCCAAUCUGACGGUGGUAUGUGAUCGAUUGUCGCCAGAUCAAACUCUGAUGUGAUGGUGAUCAUAACAAUAGCACCACCAGAUCCAGUGGUGAUGAACAAUACCACCGCCGGUUUCAAAUCUCAAAGGUGAUCACCCACAACUAUCACCAAUGACGGCCAAAGCUGGCAGUGAUGAACGUUAUGUAGUAGUGCCAGUACCGCCCAUAAACACAUGUACAGGUUGCUGGUAAUGGCCCACAAUGGCCUCCUGUAGUCCAUCCGGGUAUU